This 72-nucleotide transfer RNA is filed under the name Camelus bactrianus (Bactrian camel). It matches the Rfam family "tRNA". Rfam says of the family: Transfer RNA (tRNA) molecules are approximately 80 nucleotides in length. Their secondary structure includes four short double-helical elements and three loops (D, anti-codon, and T loops). Lineage: Eukaryota; Metazoa; Chordata; Mammalia; Artiodactyla; Camelidae. RNAcentral also lists the same sequence under 2 other names. The record is from Rfam by way of RNAcentral.
GAGGGUAUAGCUCAGUGGUAGAGCCCGUGUUUAGCAUGCACGUGGUCCUGGGAUCAAUUUCCAGUACCUCCA